Molecule: long non-coding RNA, 2172 nt
Filed under: Paramuricea clavata
Lineage: Eukaryota; Metazoa; Cnidaria; Anthozoa; Malacalcyonacea; Plexauridae
Source: RNAcentral
GCUCGGCAUGAAAGAGUGUCGCCAAAAACAUGGCGGCGCUUACGCCAUUUCCAUGGCAACUGGUCCGAAGUCUCCAUGGUAAUUGCCACUGACCAACCGCGAUCCGAAGCAUUAAACAAAGUCCAUCACCCCCCUGUUUUUACACAAAUAUUUCAGAAUUUAGAUUUUACUACGAGGUUUUUGGUUGUUUUUGAGCAAGAAAAUCUUUCCCUCGCACUUUACUUGUUUUACGAUGUGGAGGAAAAGUGCCGGUUUGUUUCGUUUGUUCAUGCAACAAUUCACUAUCAAGAAAGAUUAAUAGCUAUUCUUUCAGGUAAGAUUCAUGAAACUAUUUUUAAUUUGUAGAAGCUUGCUAGAUAUAAAAUGACUCUCGAAAUGAGUAAAAUGACUAUAAAUAUAUAACUAUAUAAGUCAAAAACUCAUGCUACUAUGUAUAUAUAUACAGCAAAAUUAAUAUUUCAAUCCAUUAUUGAUUAAAUAGCCUCUGGAACCGGGGUACGGACACAUAAAUCAUGUUUAUUAUCGUUGAAAAUUGUGGACAUGAAAUUAUGUUGUUUUGUGUUUUUUAUUGCCAGUUUUUAAUAUAAAUUUAUAAUAAUUGUGGUUGUUCACUUGCUCACACGAUCGUGCAGAUUAUAUAUGGUGUGAAUCAGGAUUAAUAUAUAGAUAAGCACAAAGACAGAGAGUGUCGGACAGAGGGAACAAAAUACCUAGGACCUGGGAAUGUUCAAAGCAGUGUGCAAAAGUUGGAUAAGCAUGAUUGAUUGCUUGCCUAUGUGUUUGAGAGACGAGAUAUGGUAUAACUGAAACUUUCUUUUGAGCUAGAUUUAACAAUCUUUCUGAAUAGGGUAGCAGCAAGUACACAGACUUCAUGUCCUGUGAACAAGGCUGCAUUGCAUUCCCCCACAUUGAGCAAGUCUCACUGAGCUUGGACAAGCAAGUCCUACUUUUGCCAGGCUUUUUGUAGCAGUGUUUAUAUAUGGGGUUGUAGGGCAGUGGUGGCCACUUAUUGUGGGGGGGGGGGGUGAUUUAGGUUGCCACCAUAUGACCGUGCACUUUAGGUUGUUGGAUAUCAUACUAGUUCUUUAAAUUUUUUUGCCUUAACCCAUGGAGCACCAGUGUGCUCUCCCCUUGACAAGUAAAAUUGUCUGGCAUUGUCAGACAGAUCGAGUAAAAUAAUCUGGUGUUAGACAGAGUAAGAUUAACUAAAGUUGGGCACAUUGGGUAUGCAGAUAGUUUGAUUUAUAUUCCAUUGAGUGCCAUGAGCACUCUCCCCUUGACGAGUAAAAUAGUCAUGCAUAACCAUGCAGAAGAUUGUCUGAUUAACCCACUGAGUGGCAGUGCUCUCCUCUAAAGUACAUUAGGGUGCAUUGCCACUUAAAGGGUUAACAUUAUUAUAUGUAAUACAUAUUAUAUUUUUGUUAAUUACUAAAGACGUGUAAUUAUAACAUGAUUGUGGUAUAAUGUUUACUUAUCUUUUUUUGCAGGAUUUAUCUGUUUAUUAAUACUGGUACCAGAAGAGAUGGCACAGGAUGCCAAAAUGGAGAACAAAUCGAAGUUAUGAUAAUAAUUAGUCACUCACCAAUUACUGUAGUCAAAUAUAGUUAUGGUGCAACUCUUUUUUAUUGACAAUAAAGAGUACUACACACAGUCACAUUUGAUUUUUUAAUUCACACUACAUUAAAUCUAAAUGUACAUCUUGUGUCUAAAUGUAGUAUGUACAUGUUUGUACAAUUGUACAGCAGGGACUGAGAGAGCAGAAAAUUGUAUAUUAUUAUAUUGUAUUAAAAUAUAUUCAAAGCACCAACAGCAACCUUUUAUCAGAUUUAUAACACAAGGCAAUACCCAAGUGUUUUAAUAGAUCUGAUGAAACAUGUACUGUGAGUGUUUUGAAUAACUUAAGAAAUGAUGUAUUUGAUAAAUUCAAAGAUGAAGUUUAUGUAAAUCUGAUCUCUUUUUGAAAUUUGUAGAUGUGUCUUCCUUCAAUGUUACGUCCCUCCAGGAUUUCGUUUACCAGAAUUGCAGUCCCCUUUUCAUCUGGGAAAAUCUCAGGUCCCCCCAAUUUCUCACCCAUCCCCCCCCCCAUCAAUAAUGAAUGCCCCCUUAUUAAUGUAAUUCAAUACAAUUUUCAAUGACUAUAUUAAAUACUUUUUGUCAUAAAUACUAAAUUAC